UGGGAUUUCAUUUUGGAAGUUUUUCCUUGCAACAUUGAUUGGGAAAGCAAUUGUGAAAACUCAUAUACAGGUUUGUAGUAUCCUCUAGUUUUUGGAUCUUGGAGCAUUUGAUUAUUUAGACUAGUUUUUGUUGCUUUUACUACUUGGAAGCUGCAGUUCUUUAGUUUGCUGCUUGGAAUAUAUUGCUUUGAACUUUUGGUUGCAAGUCUAUUGCACUAAAUGAUUGAAGUGGAAGGAGAAUAAAGACCAAAAUUCUUAUGUUACUUUCGUGAAAGGUGUUAGAUCUUGGUUUUAUUUUGAAGUGCUAAUGUGUCUGUGCUUUCUUAUUGUUUUUGUUUUUGUUUUUCUGCAGACAAUUUUUAUUAUAUCUGUCUGUAACAAUCAACUCCUUGACUGGAUAGAGAAUGAGUUG
RNAcentral lists this unclassified non-coding RNA (412 nucleotides) under Hevea brasiliensis (rubber tree). The record is from RNAcentral. Lineage: Eukaryota; Viridiplantae; Streptophyta; Magnoliopsida; Malpighiales; Euphorbiaceae.